Molecule: ribosomal RNA, 810 nt
Filed under: uncultured Acidobacteriota bacterium
Lineage: Bacteria; Pseudomonadati; Acidobacteriota
Description: bacterial SSU rRNA
Rfam family: Bacterial small subunit ribosomal RNA
Source: RNAcentral
AGAGUUUGAUCCUGGCUCAGAAUCAACGCUGGCGGCGUGCCUCAGACAUGCAAGUCGAACGCGAAAGCUCCCUUCGGGGAGCAAGUAGAGUGGCGCACGGGUGAGUAACACGUAGGUAAUCUACCUUUGGAUUGGGAAUAACAACCGGAAACGGUUGCUAAUACCGAAUAAUGCAGCGGCACCUAAUGGUGACAGUUGUUAAAGCGGGGGAUCGCAAGACCUCGCGUCUGAAGAGGAGCCUGCGGCGGAUUAGCUAGUUGGUAAGGUAACGGCUUACCAAGGCGAUGAUCCGUAGCCGGCCUGAGAGGGCGGUCGGCCACACUGACACUGACAUACGGGUCAGACUCCUACGAGAGGCAGCAGUCGGGAAUUUUGGGCAAUGGGCGAAAGCCUGACCCAGCAACGCCGCGUGAAGGAUGAAAUCCUUCGGGAUGUAAACUUCGCAAGAACGGGAAGAAUAAGUAAGAGUUAAUAUCUCUUACGAUGACGGUACUGUUUGUAAGCUCCGGCUAACUCCGUGCCAGCAGCCGCGGUAAUACGGGGGGAGCAAGCGUUGUUCGGAUUUACUGGGCGUAAAGGGCGCGUAGGCGGCCACCGCAAGUCGACUGUGAAAUCUCUGGGCUUAACCCAGAACGGUCAGCCGAUACUGCGGGGCUAGAGUGCAGAAGGGGCAACUGGAAUUCUCGGUGUAGCGGUGAAAUGCGUAGAUAUCGAGAGGAACACCUGCGGCGAAGGCGGGUUGCUGGGCUGACACUGACGCUGAGGCGCGAAAGCUAGGGGAGCGAACGGGAUUAGAUACCCCAGUAGUCC